This is a long non-coding RNA of Astatotilapia calliptera (eastern happy), 1765 nucleotides long. NCBI's taxonomy places the organism in Eukaryota, Metazoa, Chordata, Actinopteri, Cichliformes, Cichlidae. The record is from Ensembl.
CGUACCUGUGCCUUUCAAGCUACAUCCAGUGAAACCUUGGGAUUUAAUUAUAAUAGUCAUGGUAAUAUCUAAAAGUUCGUGUUACAAACUGUAGCACAUGGAGAAUUGGUGCACAUUAAACUGCAUCACCAAAUUCUUAUGAAGUGCUUUUGUUGGCACUUUACAUACAGUCACCAUUAACAGCAUUACACUGUUAUAAUACAUACAUUUUCUACACCACAAUGUAUAACUACAAUAAUUAUAAGAAUAAUAAUAGAAAAAAAACAACAUACAUUCGUAUCCCCAAACAUCCAGGAAAGUUUUGCAUAUUUGCUAAAGUGUAAAGAUUAAACACAAAAAGUUGAUCUACCUUCACAUUUGUUAACUAUACAGUUUUGACUUAAAUAGAUUACAACAUGGUCAUGUGAUGAGGUUUGAUCAAAAUGAACCCACUAGAACCCGAUCAAGUGGAUCAAAGGUUUCUAGAUGAGUAAAAGCUAUACAAGUUGGCUUGUGUGUAGGGCUGCCACAAACGAUUAUUUUGAUAGUCGACUAGUCAUCUUAGUCGACUAAUCAGAUCAUGCAUCCAUUGGACGUAAAACGUACAGCUUAUUGCACCAGCAUGCGUCUGCUCUUAUAUAACUAUCAUUAGCUUACAGCUUGAAGUGUUUGUGCUAACUAAAAAUAAAGACAAGAUGAUAGUUUAUUAAAUUUUAAUGAAAUUUGCAGAUUGCUUCGGUGAAGUUUAGUAAACUCCUUGCUAUCUAAACUAUAACAGGAAACCGGAGUAUAUUCUCGAGCAUCUCACACUUCUGAUAAUCAGCUGUCGUCUUGAUGUUUAUUCAGCUGUGUAAAAACUAUAACUAAUCUCAGCCAAACCGUUUUACUCAGGAACAAAUAAAAUACUAAAAAAGCCAAACAAUAACAUUUUGAAGUUAUCUAAGUGACUUAUAUAUAUUUAACCUGAGUAGCGAAAGACUGCAGUUGGUUUGAAAACGAUUUGCAGGGAGUCCGGUGCUCUCACGGGCUCUAGUGAGCCUUGCCCACCGGCUAGCUAUCGAGCUAGUGGGUAACAGACGUCUCCGAAAACGUGGGAGCGCUUUUGGAAAUAUGUGGUGUCUUGAUAAACUGAGCAGAUAUUUGAGGUUUACACAGCUACAUUCUCGCCUGAAAAUAUGUUAAACGUUUAUUUUGUGACCCAGAAAGAAUAAUAUUAAAACUAACUAGCUGCCGCCAUUGUUGUAAACUGAGCUGGGCUGCGCUAUAAAUUCUGGGACACAGCUUCUUCUUCUUCGGGUUUAACGGCAGCUGGCAUCCUUGUACAUGCAGUGCUGCCAUCUUCUGUUUCAGUCCGUUAUUACACUCUUAAAUCCUACUACUCAUUCCUGCGUCUUUUGUGACCUUACAAAGCUUCAAACGACGCGUCGGCUAUUAAAUCAGUCGUCGACGAUUUUGAUAGUCGAUGUAAUCGUGACUAGUCGACUAAUCGUGGCAGCCCUACCUGUGUGUGUAAGUGAGACAUAAUCAAAACAUGUGGUCGACAUGCAGGAAUGACAAGAAUUCAAACAUCCAUUUCAUUGAUUCGUAACAUUAGAAAGUCUGAAUGAACUGUGAGACCAAUCACACACACAUACACACAGACAGAAGUAGACCCAACAUGUUUACAUCAAAAAAGUAAUUUUAGGUCUCCAUCAUGUUGGAGCCACUCAUGUUUCAUUGUGUUGGCCCCUGUGCAGGAGACGCCAUUCACUCCUCUAAACUCGAUGACGCUUUGCUAAAUAGCGAG